Callithrix jacchus (white-tufted-ear marmoset) is the source of this 924-nucleotide long non-coding RNA. RefSeq lists it as uncharacterized. The record is from RefSeq and is a predicted model, not a curated record. NCBI's taxonomy places the organism in Eukaryota, Metazoa, Chordata, Mammalia, Primates, Cebidae.
UCUUAACUGCCAAAAGCCAGAAGCCAGAAGCCAUUAUGACACAACAGUCACAAUGAUAAGCAAGGUAGGAGCAACUGUAAAAAUGGAAGCAGCUCCUGGUAGGCCUCUUUGGGGUCUAGAAACAAUAUGGCCACACCAAGAAUUACUUCUGUACCUCAUAUACCAGAUGAUAUCAAAAGCUGCCAGCUUUGGGUGGUGCUCAAAGCAUAACAGGGCUUCUCAGCAAGUCUAUACUGUGGUGCAAACAGCCCUGCCACUUGGGUCAUACAAUCUGGAAGAGCCUAUGGUGUUGGAAAUAUCAAUGAUCUUUCACUGUGGGAAGUAACUGCCACCCCUCUGGAAACAACUACUGCAUUCUCAUAAGGCUAUACUUUCCCCACGCUGUUCCCAGCCAAAGACUGGACAAGUAAUGGGAUCUAAUUGAACUAAAGAGCUCCUGCACAGCAAAAGAAACUACUCACAAAAUGAACAGGCUACCUAUAGAAUGGGAGAAAAUUUUUGCAAUCUAUCCAUCUGACAAAUAUCCAGAAUCUACAGAGAACUUAAACAAAUUUCCAAGAAAAAAACCCCAUCAAAGAGUGGGUGAUGGACAUGAACAGACACAUCUCAAAAGAAGACAUUUAUGCAGCCAACAAACAUGAAAAAAGAGCUCAUCAUCACUGCUCAUUAGAAAAAUGCAAAUCAAAACCACAGUGAUAUACCAUCUCACACUGGAUAUAAAAUAUAACAUAGAGGCAGAAAAAGAUGGUGAAAUGGAAGCCUCCACUGAUCUUCCAUUUCUGCCACACUGCAACCCCUGGCAAGGACACCAAGUUAGCAACUAUGUACACAGAUAUCAGAGGUAUUACUGUACUUUCUUCAUGUCUAAGGAAGUCUAGGGCUAGCUUGGCUUUUUCAUUGUUCAUAAGUGAUGCCAAAGAAUAC